This 449-nucleotide ribosomal RNA is filed under the name uncultured bacterium. RNAcentral describes it as "partial 16S ribosomal RNA". It matches the Rfam family "Bacterial small subunit ribosomal RNA", at positions 29 to 523 of the family's 1533-position model. The record is from RNAcentral.
AGCGAACGCUGGCGGCAGGCCUAACACAUGCAAGUCGAACGAACUCUUCGGAGUUAGUGGCGGACGGGUGAGUAACACGUGGGAACGUGCCUUUAGGUUCGGAAUAACUCAGGGAAACUUGUGCUAAUACCGAAUGUGCCCUUCGGGGGAAAGAUUUAUCGCCUUUAGAGCGGCCCGCGUCUGAUUAGCUAGUUGGUGAGGUAACGGCUCACCAAGGCGACGAUCAGUAGCUGGUCUGAGAGGAUGGCCAGCCACACUGGGACUGAGACACGGCCCAGACUCCUACGGGAGGCAGCAGUGGGGAAUCUUGCGCAAUGGGCGAAAGCCUGACGCAGCCAUGCCGCGUGAAUGAUGAAGGUCUUAGGAUUGUAAAAUUCUUUCACCGGGGACGAUAAUGACGGUACCCGGAGAAGAAGCCCCGGCUAACUUCGUGCCAGCAGCCGCCGUAA